UCCCAAGUGCUGGGAUUAAAGGCCUGUGCUGCCAGCGCCCGGCUACAGAGCCAUUUUUAUGUGUGUAGUGUUUGCAUCGUUCUGCACAGAGAAAGUUAUUUGUUAGUGAUCUUGUUACUAGGGUGAAUCUUGUUAUAUUGCUGAUACUGACUUAUUUGGCUAUGGGUGUGUAAAUUUCAUCUUGUGUAACUUCAUUUUUCUGGGGUUCCUUCAGAUUACCGUUGGAAGGAGAAGCAAUCUGACAAACUUAGUCUUUUACUUUCUAGUUGUUGCCAGUCCUAAGACUCACAACAAAGCUGAAUUGUCCACAACUUUCAGGACUCUGUUCCUUGUUAGGAAGCUGCAGUUACAGUGAUGUCAUUCUUGUCCCGUGUAGAACCUUCCCUCAGAUCCUGGCUCCCAUUAUCUUCAGCACUUCCAUCUCCAAUGUCAGCGUUUCUAUUCAGCUUGGAGACACACCACCUUUUGCUUUGGGGUUCAAUUCCAUCUCCCUGGGUAAGGCUCAGGGAUGGGAAGGGAACAAGGAUUUGCUCUUUGGUUACAGCUAUGCCUGUUCCAUGGCGGCUUAAUAGUCUACUUUUUAACACCUGUUUCAGAUUACCAGCACCUCCGACCACAAAGUAUCCAUCAGCGGGCUGUCCUGACUGUGGAUCACCUCUGCUGGCGGGUGGGCAGUGAGUCCCACAUUCAGCGGGCACCACACCCACCUAAUAUGCAUGUCUGGGGAGAAGCACUUGUCCUGGACUCUUUCACACUGCAGGGUAGCUAUAACCAGCCCCUGGGUUUGUCCAGCACCCAAUCCAAUACUCUCUUUCUUGACUGUACUAUUCGAGGACUUCAGGAAGUCUUUGCUUGGGGAGUCUGUGACCUUACUGUGGAAGGUGGACUUGAAGGUGGAAGACAUGAACCUGUUCACUCUUUCUGCACUGGUUGGUAAGUGGAGCAGGAAGUGGGUAGUAUGCCAAUUUAGCAGCUUAUGCUGGUUCACUCAGCUGCUUCUCCUUUAAGGAAGCUGAUUAUCUGGAAAGUUUCCAUGUUAAGAGUCAUGAGACAUUAGAGGGCUUGAACAAUAGGCUUUGUGCUGCUGCUUAGUAGCUAUUGAAGGCGAGUAUUAAAAAAUACACAGAUGGGGGAAAAUUUAGCCUUGACGUGAUCAAGAGAAUGAGACCAACAUAGGGUUUCUUUUGUCU
RNAcentral lists this long non-coding RNA (1190 nucleotides) under Cricetulus griseus (Chinese hamster). RNAcentral's name for it is "lncRNA (ENSCGRG00000026059.1)". The record is from RNAcentral. Lineage: Eukaryota; Metazoa; Chordata; Mammalia; Rodentia; Cricetidae.